Long non-coding RNA from Manis pentadactyla (Chinese pangolin), 1427 nucleotides. RefSeq lists it as uncharacterized. The transcript is spliced from 7 exons. The record is from RefSeq and is a predicted model, not a curated record. NCBI's taxonomy places the organism in Eukaryota, Metazoa, Chordata, Mammalia, Pholidota, Manidae.
AGAGUGGGGGAUGGUCAUUAAAUUUAGUAGAAUGCCAAUAUUAAAUAUGUGUCCACACAGAGCCAGAAGGGCCAGUUUAAGAGGAAUUAUACUUUGAAUAAAGGCUGCCAGAAUCUCACUGUCACAGUUCAUAAUUUGGAGCACACUGAGUAGUCACCUGUACAAAGACACUACUUACUUUUCCUUCCUGGACGUGGCUGACCUAACACGGCUGGCUGGGCCCUGCCUCUCUAGCCUCACGUGAGAUAGUCUGGAUCUUGUUUCUUCUCUGGUCUUGACUCCCAGAGUCUCAGGCUCGGGUGAAACCUAACCAUGUUUGGGUUGUCACCUUUAGUCUGGUUCACAGAAAUGGCAAGUAUUUGCUUUAUAGUUUGCUACUGUGAUUUAGUGCCCUGACCUAUACUGCCUUGACCCAUUCACUGUCUGAGGUCCCUUUGCCUGUUUCUAGCUGUAUAAACUCCCGCGAUGCAUUCUGGUGCUCACACGGUGCCUUUGGAGCCAGAGGGGAGCAAAGCUGCUCUCUGAGGAUGACGUGCUCUCCUAAGCGGCCCCAUCUCUGUUCAGAGAGCUGUGGUGGGGAGUGAAGCCAUGGACGGUGUGCUAUGCCACGAAGUGAUGAUGUCUGCAGCAGCGAUAACCUCUCUCAUCACCAGCCGCUCUACCUUAUGGAUUUCCAUCUAGAGAAAGAGGACACCGUCCCUCUCGUGUUGUAGCUGAAGGAGAGACACAGCAGCAGUUUUUAGACCCAGACUGUACUGAUAACCAAGUGAAAUAUCUGAAAGUAUUUCCAGCUGAAAAGCCUGUACAAUGUCCAGAUGCGCAUUUGGAGUGCAUCAAAUUAUGUUAAAACCGGCCAAGCGAGGAACUUCCAUGAGAUUUGGAAGGCAAAAUGGAGACAGCAUCCGAUAAACUGUGAUUGAGCACUAGGAGAGACACAAGGUGUGUUGGAAGUCCUAUUUGCUAUUUCCUUCAAAGUGAACAUGAGCCACAACAUCCAGAGUUGAUGCAAAACAUGGGUCAGAAACUUUGACGCUUGGACACGAUGCUGUUCAGAGGGUCUGUUCAAAUUAAAACAGAACUCAGGGCCAUGAACGACACAGAUGAGAAAAUAGAGGCUCAAAUAAGUGAAACAAAUCGCCCAAAGCUUUACAGCUGAGAAGCAGUGGAGGUGGAGUUUGAGCACCCGUCUGCUGAAUUGAGAGACUGGAUGCUUAAGGCAUUACUUAAACUAGAAGAUUGCUGAUACUCCUCUUUAUGGUAGGAGACAUUCUUUCCACUGAUAUCUGGGUUUCGUGGUGCUUCUGUGCUCAUGGGUUCUGAGAUCAGAUUGAGUCCAACAUUUCUAUGUCAAAAAGUAGAUGAAAACCUUCUGUGGCCAUGUUAGAGAAAUAUGUGCUUUUUGUUUUGUUUUACUUGCAUAAAUGAAG